GGCCUGGUGGCAGAUGGUCCACGCCCACCGAUAAUGAGUGUCUUGGCAGGAAAUAUACCAGUGGGAGUCCCUCGUUCGAAUCGGGGUCAGGCCG
This is a non-coding RNA of Mycena rosella, 94 nucleotides long. Lineage: Eukaryota; Fungi; Basidiomycota; Agaricomycetes; Agaricales; Mycenaceae. The record is from the annotation of a GenBank genome assembly.